GGGCUUUCUGUUUUUAUUUUUCCUGUGGUCCCAGAACAUCCUCCUCCACACUCACACUCGGCCCCCCCGCCUCCCAAGUACACGUGCACAGACCUACCUGCACAGCCAGAGAUGCAGGGUACAGCUGUGGGGGUGAAAAACGUGGACCAGAGUUGGGGUUAAACUAGAGAAACUCUGAGAAGACUAUUUGGACAGCAGGGGAGAGCAAGGAGGUGAAGGUUAUUUGGGAAUUCCAAAGCCCAACGCUUCUACUGUCCCAGCCUCUCCCUGAUCUCUCUGGUUCGGGAUUCGGGAUUCAAGGAGAGAAGAUCGAGCUCCAGGCCCCUGAGUGGGGAAACAUCCCCCCCCCACCAACCGUCCCCUCCAACCCCCCGUCCCCAUCCUAUGGCCUCCGUAAUUUUUCUCCCUCCCGUUCCCAGGCACUGGAUAAGGGAAGGAAGAGAACCAAGUCUGGAGGUGGGAACAGUAGAACGGGGUGGGGAGGCAGAGUCGGAAGGAGAGAAGGAAGGGAGAGGAUCUCUGGAGCGGUCGGG
Long non-coding RNA from Ornithorhynchus anatinus (platypus), 533 nucleotides. RefSeq lists it as uncharacterized. The transcript has 3 exons. NCBI's taxonomy places the organism in Eukaryota, Metazoa, Chordata, Mammalia, Monotremata, Ornithorhynchidae. The record is from RefSeq and is a predicted model, not a curated record.